AAAAAAAAAAAAAAAAAAAAAAGUCCAAUAUGUGCGUGUGUGUGUGUGUGUGUGUUUUGUUUUUUUUCCUAAGUUUGUGUGUCUUUUCU
Molecule: non-coding RNA, 89 nt
Filed under: Pteridomonas danica
Lineage: Eukaryota; Dictyochophyceae; Pedinellales
Source: RNAcentral